Molecule: ribosomal RNA, 273 nt
Filed under: uncultured bacterium
Lineage: Bacteria
Description: partial 16S ribosomal RNA
Rfam family: Bacterial small subunit ribosomal RNA
Source: RNAcentral
AUACGUAUGUCGCAAGCGUUAUCCGGAAUUAUUGGGCGUAAAGCGAGUCUAGGCGGCUUGUUAAGUCAGAUGUGAAAAUGCGGGGCUCAACUCCGUAUUGCGUUUGAAACUGGCAGGCUAGAGUACUGGAGAGGUGGGCGGAACUACAAGUGUAGAGGUGAAAUUCGUAGAUAUUUGUAGGAAUGCCGAUAGUGAAGACAGCUCACUGGACAGAUACUGACGCUAAAGCUCGAAAGCGUGGGGAGCGAACAGGAUUAGAUACCCUAGUAGUCC